RNAcentral lists this transfer RNA (75 nucleotides) under Vicugna pacos (alpaca). RNAcentral's name for it is "tRNA-Ala (AGC) (tRNA-Ala-AGC-273-1)". It matches the Rfam family "tRNA". From Rfam's summary of the family: Transfer RNA (tRNA) molecules are approximately 80 nucleotides in length. Their secondary structure includes four short double-helical elements and three loops (D, anti-codon, and T loops). Further hydrogen bonds mediate the characteristic L-shaped molecular structure. tRNAs have two regions of fundamental functional importance: the anti-codon, which is responsible for specific mRNA codon recognition, and the 3' end, to which the tRNAs corresponding amino acid is attached (by aminoacyl-tRNA synthetases). tRNAs cope with the degeneracy of the genetic code in two manners: having more than one tRNA (with a specific anti-codon) for a particular amino acid; and 'wobble' base-pairing, i.e. permitting non-standard base-pairing at the 3rd anti-codon position. Lineage: Eukaryota; Metazoa; Chordata; Mammalia; Artiodactyla; Camelidae. The record is from RNAcentral.
GGAGUGGGUAUAGCUCAGUGGUAGAGCACAUGCUUAGCAUGCAUGAGGUCCUGGGUUCAAUCCCCAGUACCUCCU